UUUCUGCAAAUUUGGUUAUCAUUUGCUUUUAUCCAUUUGUAGUUUGACAUCUGCAAAUUUGGUCACCAUGAGCUAGCCUUUUUCAUUAGUAGUUCAUUGUCUAGAACAAUCUGUUGCUGCUAAUUCCCUAUAGAGAAACAUUAAUCCUGGAUCAGCAUUGUCUCAUAAUUUAUUUUCUCUGGGAAACAAAAAUAAACAAAAAAAAGGGCAACGAUCAAAGACCGGUGAUCUCUGGUUCUUGAAGAACCUAAAGAUGCUGACCUGAAAGAGCCUUCAGGAUUGUAACUUCAUGCGAUGAUUAUAAAUCUUGUAAGCGAUAAUGACAAUGAGUCUAACUCAUCCCUUUCCAUUGAAGGCCUGGCAGGCCCCAAAACAGGAAAUUUGACAGAUCCACUUUUUACUGAUAAUCAAACCAACCGAGGGAACAUGAGGUGAGAGGGCAUGAGUUCAUUCCCACUUGACUAGUUUAGGGGUUGUGUGACUGACUACUGGAUUUGAGAUUUUACUUGUUUGGUGCAAUUAGUACAGCUCUAAAGGAGUGAUCUGGCUCAAAUGGGAUUUUUUGUUUGAAAAAAAAGACUACUCUGGUUUUUCAUGUAGUCAUGGCAAAAUUAUGAUCACAGACACUAAUCACAUGGAUUGGCCCCAACCCUCUUAAAUAUGCAUCUGAAUUGUUGUUCAACCUAUCUCACAAGCAUACCAAAUACGACAAUGCCCUUCACCUGCAAUUUGCAAAGAAUGUUUCUCUCAGUUGAGAGCAAGAAAGCAUCAAAAGAAAAUUAAAUACACAAAUCUCCGCAUUCUCUUCUAUUAAAAAUGAGUCAAUAAAAUCGAUGCAUUUGGUUCCAUGGUUUUUGUACUGAGAAGGAUAAGGGGCAUGUUCCUCAAUGAUUUUUUUUUUUCCCAAUAGUACUGGUGAUGGCGACAAGCAUAUGAAGAUAUGAAAAUGAAAACAAAACCAGCUAACAGUUCCAUUGUAGCGGUAGAAUUAAUUGAAGGGGCAUGAAAGAGCUGGAGAAAGAUAAACAGGGAUCAAGCAUGGGCGAUCUAAUCUUAUCAUGGCAUUUAUAUCAGUGUUCUGUAGUCACUUUGAUUGCGAUUUAUAGAAAGAAAAUAUCAUCACUAAUAAAUGAUAGAGAUGAUAAGGGAAAACAACCUUCUGCAGUUGGCCCUGUCUUA
Long non-coding RNA from Mangifera indica (mango), 1179 nucleotides. RefSeq lists it as uncharacterized. The transcript is spliced from 2 exons. NCBI's taxonomy places the organism in Eukaryota, Viridiplantae, Streptophyta, Magnoliopsida, Sapindales, Anacardiaceae. The record is from RefSeq and is a predicted model, not a curated record.